This is a ribosomal RNA of 394 nucleotides. It matches the Rfam family "Eukaryotic large subunit ribosomal RNA", at positions 3004 to 3399 of the family's 3401-position model. The record is from Rfam.
AAUGUUGUUACAAUAGUCAUUGCACUUAGUACGAGUAGAACCGUUCAUUCGGAUAAUUGGUAUUUGGGCCUGCCUGAGCAGGCAAUGGCCCGAAGCUAUCAUCCGUUGGGUUAUGGCUGAACGCCUCUAAGUCAGAACCCGUGCUAUUACGCGACGAUUACCGCCUUUCGAUUUUUAGUUGAAUACGAAUAGAUCUUCGGAUCCUGAAUCAUACUACAGGGGGUCGAUCUUACAGAGUGGAAAGGCUUUGUGAGGUUCCUGCUAAUGUUAAUUUCAAAAUAUUGGAGGAGAUAAAAUCCAUUGCAGACGACUUUAACUGAACGGAGUAUUGUAAGCAGUAGAGUAGCCUUGUUGCUACGAUCUGCUGAGAUUAAGCCCAUUGUUCUAUAGAUUU